UGGUUCUGGCAUNGAUGAAGAACGCAGCGAAAUGCGAUAAGUAAUGUGAAUUGCAGAAUUCAGUGAAUCAUCGAAUCUUUGAACGCACAUUGCGCCCUUUGGUAUUCCGAAGGGCAUGCCUGUUCGAGCGUCAUUUCAACCCUCAAGCUCUGCUUGGUAUUGGGUCUCACCGCACGGUGGGCCUUAAAAUCAGUGGCGGUGCCAUCUUGGCUCUAAGCGUAGUAAAUCUCUCGCUCUGGGACCUCGGUGGUGCUUGCCAGCAACCCCAAAUUUUCUAUGGUUGACCUCGGAUCAGGUAGGGAUACCCGCUGA
RNAcentral lists this unclassified non-coding RNA (312 nucleotides) under uncultured fungus. Its description in RNAcentral is "partial contains 5.8S ribosomal RNA and internal transcribed spacer 2". The stretch from base 1 to 133 matches the Rfam family "5.8S ribosomal RNA", at positions 22 to 154 of the family's 154-position model. The record is from RNAcentral. Lineage: Eukaryota; Fungi.